GUAGGUGGCAAGCGUUGUCCGGAAUUAUUGGGCGUAAAGCGCGCGCAGGCGGUUUUUUAAGUCUGAUGUGAAAGCCCACGGCUCAACCGUGGAGGGUCAUUGGAAACUGGAGAACUUGAGUACAGAAGAGGAAAGCGGAAUUCCACGUGUAGCGGUGAAAUGCGUAGAGAUGUGGAGGAACACCAGUGGCGAAGGCGGCUUUCUGGUCUGUAACUGACGCUGAGGCGCGAAAGCGUGGGGAGCAAACAGGGAUUAGAUACCCUGGUAGUCCACGCCGUAAACGAUGAGUGCUAAGUGUUAGGGGGGUUUCCGCCCCCGUUAGUGCUGCAGCUAACGCAUUAAGCACUCCGCUGGGGAUACGGCCGCAAGGCUG
This 373-nucleotide ribosomal RNA is filed under the name uncultured organism. Its description in RNAcentral is "partial 16S ribosomal RNA". It matches the Rfam family "Bacterial small subunit ribosomal RNA", at positions 527 to 896 of the family's 1533-position model. The record is from RNAcentral.